Molecule: non-coding RNA, 30 nt
Filed under: Rattus norvegicus (Norway rat)
Lineage: Eukaryota; Metazoa; Chordata; Mammalia; Rodentia; Muridae
Source: RNAcentral
UCACCUGCAUUGUCAGAUUCAUUGGUGUAU